UAUCGAAAAAUAAUUUUUAUAUGUUUUUAGAAGGAUAGAUCGAUUUUGUAACGAAAAUUGUUUUUAAUAAAAACAUCGAUGAGAAACGUUCGAUGGUUUAAUGGUUUUAAGGGACUAAUCGAUUAUUUUUCAAAAUUUAUUUUGUUUGAAAUAUAUUUGUAGAGAUAUAUUUUCUUUUAUUAUUUUUCAAAGGAAGACACACGCAUUUCUAGGAAAAAAUAUAAGUCACUGAUGAUUCAAUAAUCUCUCUCUGCAUCGUCUUAAUCGCUAUGGAUACUUUAAAUUCUUAUAUCUCGACAACCGAUUAAGAUAUCAAGAUGAAACAAAAAAAGACUUCAGUGACACCGUUUCUUCUAUUUUCUCAAUUUUCUCCAAAAGUCUCCACCACACACAUAUCUCUUCUUUUCCUUUUU
Apis dorsata (giant honeybee) is the source of this 413-nucleotide long non-coding RNA. RefSeq lists it as uncharacterized. The record is from RefSeq and is a predicted model, not a curated record. The transcript is spliced from 3 exons. NCBI's taxonomy places the organism in Eukaryota, Metazoa, Arthropoda, Insecta, Hymenoptera, Apidae.